GGGGAUAUAGCUCAGUUGGUAGAGCACUUGUCUUGCAUGCACAAGGCUCUGGGUUCAAUACCCAGCACCA
This 70-nucleotide transfer RNA is filed under the name Urocitellus parryii (Arctic ground squirrel). RNAcentral describes it as "Spermophilus parryii (Arctic ground squirrel) tRNA". It matches the Rfam family "tRNA". Rfam says of the family: Transfer RNA (tRNA) molecules are approximately 80 nucleotides in length. Their secondary structure includes four short double-helical elements and three loops (D, anti-codon, and T loops). The record is from Rfam by way of RNAcentral. Lineage: Eukaryota; Metazoa; Chordata; Mammalia; Rodentia; Sciuridae. RNAcentral also lists the same sequence under 2 other names.